UUUCACUCUUACUUUUAUUAUAUAUUGUAUAUGUUUAUAUGAUGUAGUAGAAAAUAUCAUUUAUAUUUCAUCGCAGAUAAAGAGUGAUGGGUUCCAACAUACACACUGAUGUAACCAGGCUGGAUGCAACGAUGACAGACCAGACUGAAACACCACGAGAAGAGGUAUAUAGCUAAUUCUUCUUUGUUUGUGUCUUAUAUAUGAUAAUACAAAAUGUUUAUAUUUUACAUAUUAUUAUUUUUCAGAAUAUAGGAGACAUAGAUAUGGAUUUUGGUGAUGCACAAAAAGAAUGCAUCGACAAGGGUUCUGAAGCGGCGACGCUGAAAGGGGCCGAAAACUCACCGAGUUUUCCAAAACAAAAUGAUGUGGGGGCGGUGAUAUCUCAUAAAAAACCAAAAAAGAAUGCCAAUGUAAAUGUUAUUGCACAAGGUAUUAUUUUCAAUGUUAUUAUCGAUCUUUCCUUCGACAUAUUGUUUU
This 477-nucleotide long non-coding RNA is filed under the name Triticum aestivum (bread wheat). Its description in RNAcentral is "long non-coding RNA (TAES_LNC015323)". The record is from RNAcentral. Lineage: Eukaryota; Viridiplantae; Streptophyta; Magnoliopsida; Poales; Poaceae.